This 505-nucleotide ribosomal RNA is filed under the name uncultured Candidatus Poseidoniales archaeon. Its description in RNAcentral is "bacterial SSU rRNA". It matches the Rfam family "Archaeal small subunit ribosomal RNA", at positions 1 to 511 of the family's 1478-position model. Lineage: Archaea; Methanobacteriati; Thermoplasmatota; Candidatus Poseidoniia; Candidatus Poseidoniales. The record is from RNAcentral.
AUCUGGUUGAUCCUGCCAGAGGCUACCGCUAUUGGAGUUCGAUUAAGCCAUGCGAGUCGAGAGUCUUAGGGACUCGGCGUACCGCUCAGUAACACGUGGGUAACCUGCCCUAUGCUGGGGGAUAACCUCGGGAAACUGAGAAUAAUGCCCCAUAGUCCACAAUGCCUGGAACGGUUUGUGGAUUAAAGCCCCGGCGGCAUAGGAUGGGCCUGCGGCGUAUCAGGUUGUAGGGGGUGUAACGUACCCUCUAGCCAUCAACGCGUACGGGUGUUGGGAGACAUAGCCCGGAGAUGGAUUCUGAGACACGAAUCCAGACCCUACGGGGUGCAGCAGGCGCGAAAACUUGGCAAUGCGAGAAAUCGUGACCAGGGAACUCCAAGUGGCUGGGGUAAGACCCAGUCUUUUCUUGACUCUUCAAAGGUCUUGGAAUAAGAGGUGGGUAAGGACGGUGCCAGCCGCCGCGGUAAUACCGGCACCUCACGUGGUAGUCGAUUUUAUUGGGCCU